UCCAGCUGUAUUUACAGUGAGUGUGUCACAGUCCUUAGUGUCAGGACCAAACCCAAACAGCGUCUUAUUCAACAACCUGUCAUGACAUGAUGGGUUAGUUGAGAUUGUGAGGUAAGAAUGUGGGUGAGAUUGUGAGGUAAGAUGGUGGGUGAGGUUGUGCGGUAAGAUGGUAGGUGAAGUUGAGGUAAAAUGGUGGGUGAGGUUGUGCGGUAAGAUGGUGGGUGAGGUUGUGCGGUAAGAUGGUGGGUGAGGUUGUGCGGUAAGACGGUGGGUGAGGUUGUGCAGUAAGAUGGUGGUUGAGGUUAUGCAGUAAGAUGGUGGGUGAGCUGAGACUGACUCUUGGGAGGCCAUGGUUUGGGCGACCACACAGUCUUGGGACGAGCGUUGAUAUCCGCUACACGGUCAUUGAAUCUGGCGUG
Oncorhynchus tshawytscha (Chinook salmon) is the source of this 419-nucleotide long non-coding RNA. NCBI's taxonomy places the organism in Eukaryota, Metazoa, Chordata, Actinopteri, Salmoniformes, Salmonidae. The record is from Ensembl.